RNAcentral lists this ribosomal RNA (422 nucleotides) under Brevibacterium sp. R-45586. Its description in RNAcentral is "bacterial SSU rRNA". It matches the Rfam family "Bacterial small subunit ribosomal RNA", at positions 34 to 452 of the family's 1533-position model. Lineage: Bacteria; Bacillati; Actinomycetota; Actinomycetes; Micrococcales; Brevibacteriaceae. The record is from RNAcentral.
CGCUGGCGGCGUGCUUAACACAUKCAAGUCGAACGYUGAAGCCUGCAGCUUGCUGUGGGUGGAUGAGUGGCGAACGGGUGAGUAACACGUGAGUAACCUGCCCCUGACUYUGGGAUAAGCCCGGGAAAMUGGGUCUAAUACCGGAUAUGACCAUUCUCCGCAUGGAGUGGUGGUGGAAAGUUUUUCGGUUGGGGAUGGGCUCGCGGCCUAUCAGCUUGUUGGUGGGGKGAUGGCCUACCAAGGCGACGACGGGUAGCCGGCCUGAGAGGGCGACCGGCCACACUGGGACUGAGACACGGCCCMGACUCCUACGGGAGGCAGCAGUGGGGAAUAUUGCACAAUGGGGGAAACCCUGAUGCAGMGACGCCGCGUGGGGGAWGACGGCCUUCGGGUUGUAAACCUCUUUCAGUAGGGAAGAAGCC